AGACGCUGUCCCGCAGCCCUGAGGGCUGAGUUCUGCACCCAGUCAAGCUCAGGAAGGCCAAGGAAAGAAUCCAUUCCAAUAUAUGGCCAUGUGGCUCUUUGGAGCAGUGUUCCAUCAUGUUCCACGAUGGUGACAUCAUACAGAGCACAGAAAUCAAUGUUAGCAGAUAACCAGCCCAUAUAAAAUCGAGUAAGUAAAGUUUUAAAAAUUGUAUCAUGCAAUAUAGAUACUUUUAUGUAAUAGCAUA
This 247-nucleotide long non-coding RNA is filed under the name Rhinopithecus roxellana (golden snub-nosed monkey). RNAcentral describes it as "lncRNA (ENSRROG00000045850.1)". The record is from RNAcentral. Lineage: Eukaryota; Metazoa; Chordata; Mammalia; Primates; Cercopithecidae.